Molecule: ribosomal RNA, 301 nt
Filed under: uncultured bacterium
Lineage: Bacteria
Description: partial 16S ribosomal RNA
Rfam family: Bacterial small subunit ribosomal RNA
Source: RNAcentral
CAGCCGCCGCGGUAAUACGGAGGGGGCUGGCGUUGUUCGGAAUUACUGGGCGUAAAGCGCACGUAGGCGGCUUGGUAAGUUAGAGGUGAAAGCCCGGAGCUCAACUCCGGAAUUGCCUUUAAGACUGCCGAGCUAGUAGGUGAGAGAGGUAAGUGGAAUUCCGAGUGUAGAGGUGAAAUUCGUAGAUAUUCGGAAGAACACCAGUGGCGAAGGCGGCUUACUGGCUCAUUCUAGACGCUGAGGUGCGAAAGCGUGGGGAGCAAACAGGAUUAGAUACCCCUGUAGUCCCUGUCUCUUAUAU